GCGGUCAUGGUGGAAUGGUAGACACGCUGAUCUCAGACGUCAGUGAGGAAACUCAUGCAGGUUCAAGUCCUGUUGGCCGCA
Molecule: transfer RNA, 81 nt
Organism: Bulleidia extructa W1219
Lineage: Bacteria; Bacillati; Bacillota; Erysipelotrichia; Erysipelotrichales; Erysipelotrichaceae
Rfam family: tRNA
About the family: Transfer RNA (tRNA) molecules are approximately 80 nucleotides in length. Their secondary structure includes four short double-helical elements and three loops (D, anti-codon, and T loops).
Source: Rfam